Molecule: transfer-messenger RNA, 353 nt
Filed under: Marinicella pacifica
Lineage: Bacteria; Pseudomonadati; Pseudomonadota; Gammaproteobacteria; Lysobacterales; Marinicellaceae
Description: Standard tmRNA
Rfam family: transfer-messenger RNA
About the family: Bacterial tmRNA, also known as 10Sa RNA or SsrA, is named for its dual tRNA and mRNA-like properties. Its role is to liberate the mRNA from a stalled ribosome. To accomplish this part of the tmRNA is used as a reading frame that ends in a translation stop signal.
Source: Rfam by way of RNAcentral
GGGGGCGACCUGGCUUCGACGUGGGUCGCGAAACUUGAAGGUGCAUGCCGAGGGCGAAAUUCACCUCGUAAAACUCAGUUUCAAAGUUAUAGUUGCAAACGACGAUAACUACGCUUUAGCAGCUUAAUUGCUAACGGGCACUCGCGAUUUCUUGCGUUCGUGAACUGUCCGUCAUAACCAGCAAGAUCGCUCAACGUACCGUUUGGAUGCGUUGGGUUAAACUAAAUCCAAACUGGUGUUGAUGAAUCCCGACAGGCGGAGUCAUCAACAUAAGAUCAAAAGCCUAAUCUAAGCAUGUAGAGCCUCAAGCAGAGGACUUGCGGACGCGGGUUCGAUUCCCGCCGCCUCCACCA